UACGUAGGUGGCGAGCGUUGUCCGGAUUUACUGGGCGUAAAGCGCGCGCAGGCGGUCCGGUAAGUCUCCGGUGAAAUCGCCCGGCUCAACUGGGCGGGUGCCGGGGAGACUGGCGGACUUGAGGAGCCUAGAGGCCGGUGGAACUCCCGGUGUAGUGGUGAAAUGCGUAGAGAUCGGGAAGAACACCAGUGGCGAAGGCGGCCGGCUGGGGGUGUCCUGACGCUGAGGCACGAAAGCUAGGGGAGCAAACAGG
RNAcentral lists this ribosomal RNA (253 nucleotides) under uncultured bacterium. RNAcentral describes it as "partial 16S ribosomal RNA". It matches the Rfam family "Bacterial small subunit ribosomal RNA", at positions 524 to 776 of the family's 1533-position model. The record is from RNAcentral.